This 233-nucleotide long non-coding RNA is filed under the name Hordeum vulgare. RNAcentral's name for it is "long non-coding RNA (HVUL_LNC015443)". Lineage: Eukaryota; Viridiplantae; Streptophyta; Magnoliopsida; Poales; Poaceae. The record is from RNAcentral.
GGAGAUUAUAUAUUCCAGCUCUGAAGUUUCCUUUUGAGCCCCCGUUCUACUAUGGUUUGGAUUCUAGUUGAAAGCGUGCGACCAUCUAUUCAGAUGAGGAGACCGAGUAAGAAACCACUGAGCGGAGAGCAAACAGAUCAAUCUCUAUCUAUGAGUUUCUCAACCAAGAUCCACUAUUCAACCAAGACCCGCUAACUAAUACUUUUACGCGAGCUUAGUUAUUGGAAGUAGUA